GAGCGACGCCGCGAACGAUGAAGGCAGAAAUGUUGUAAAGUUCUUUUAUACGGGAAGAAUAAGAUAGAUGAGAGAAACGUCUGUUGAUGACGGUACCGUAUGAAUAAGUCACGGCUAACUACGUGCCAGCAGCCGCGGUAAUACGUAGGUGACAAGCGUUAUUCGGAAUUAUUGGGCGUAAAGGGCAUGUAGGCGGUUUGAUAAGUGUGAAUUGAAAGACCGGAGCUUAACUCCGCGUUUGGUUUGCAAACUGUCAAGCUAGAGUACAGAAGGGGAAACUGGAAUUCCACGUGUAGGGGUGAAAUCUGUAGAUAUGUGGAAGAAUACUUGUGGCGAAGGCGAGUUUCUGGUCUGUAACUGACGCUGAAAUGCGAAAGUGCAGGGAGCAAACAGGAUUAGAUACCCUGGUAGUCCGCACUGUAAACGUUGUACACUAGGUGUCAUGGGUAUAAACUCCUGUGGUGCCGUAGCUAACGCGAUAAGUGUACCGCCUGGGGAGUAUGCUCGCAAGGGUGAAACUCAAAGGAAUUGACGGGGGCCCGCACAAGCGGUGGAGCAUGUGGUUUAAUUCGAUGGUACGCGAAGAACCUUACCAGGGUUUGACAUACAUUUGACAGAGGCAGAGAUGUUCCUUUCUCUUCGGAGACAGAUGUACAGGUGCUGCAUGGCUGUCGUCAGCUCGUGUUGUGAGAUGUUGGGUUAAGUCCCGCAACGAGCGCAACCCCUACUAUUAGUUGCCAACAGGUAAUGCUUGGGCACUCUAAUGGAACUGCCGAUGACAAAUCGGAGGAAGGUGGGGAUGACGUCAAGUCCUCAUGGCCCUUAUAUCCUGGGCUACACACGUGCUACAAUGGGCUAUACAAAGGGUAGCGAUAUCGCGAGAUGGAGCCAAUCCCAAAAAGUAGUCCGUAGUUCAGAUUGGAGUCUGCAACUCGACUCCAUGAAGCCGGAAUCGCUAGUAAUCACAGAUCAGCACGCUGUGGUGAAUACGUUCCCGGGCCUUGUACACACCGCCCGUCACACCACCCGAGUUGAGGAUACCCGAAGUUAUUACCCUAACCGUAAGGAGGGGGAUACCUAAGGUAUGCUUAGUGAGGGGGGUGAAGUCGUAACAAGGUAACCGUACCGGAAGGUG
Molecule: ribosomal RNA, 1135 nt
Filed under: uncultured cyanobacterium
Lineage: Bacteria; Bacillati; Cyanobacteriota
Description: bacterial SSU rRNA
Rfam family: Bacterial small subunit ribosomal RNA
Source: RNAcentral